UAAGCAAACCACAAUUGCAGUGCUUUGUUUCAUAGUGAUUACAAUCAGAACAAGUCAUAAUCACACGUUUGGUAAAAACUAGAGAAAACACUUUUAUAUUCAGUUCAUUAACGAUGCGUCUUGUUGAAAAGUUAGCCUUAGAAAAGUCUCAUGAUCUAUGGAUUCAGACAUCCGUCAGUAUUAAUUUUCGGUUGCUCCUCGAAUUUCUCUUUUCGAAGGCUGUCCAAAUUGAUGACCAUUUGGUGGAAGUUGUCGAGGCAGAAAGAACGUCAAAGGAAAAGUGCAUCAAAUUUCUCCAAAUCAUAAAAGAGUUCACAGGUCGUGAUUUGUUGGGACGGCUCAUGAAGGAAAUGGCCAUUCAAUUAGGCGAAACGAGUCCAUUAAUAGUCAAAGUUGAAUCUCUUAUUUUGGAAACACAAACAGCGCUGAGAAAUAAAGACAACUUUAUUUCCCAUGCAAAACGACUUAACGUCAAAAUUUUCGACCCUGUGAUUGGGUUCGAUUCACAUUUCAGUUUUCUAGCACAGGAAAGGAACUUUGAAAGCAUAUAUUUGAUGAAAUCUGAAACCAAUGAAGUUCAUGAAGUUACUGAAGGUCAUGAAGAGCAUCAAAAACAAAAAAUGGCGCUUAUCGAAAAAGUUAAACUUACCGAAAGUGAAAAAUCUUUUAUUUUGACUACUUUAAAAACCAGAAUGGAGCUCACUGAAAUUUUAAAAUUUUCUGAUUUGGUCAAAGAUUACUGGGAAAAAUUAGCUGUUGAAAUGGAUAUUGGCGACUUAGUUUACUCAAUAAAAAGCUCUAACCAGUCGAACUACGAUCGUUCUAUGGAGUGCUUAAACAAGUCUUUUCAGCGAAAUUUCUCAAAGUUUGACCGAGAGUACUUGAUGAAGUCAAUCGCACGAGCAGACAACAAAUUGCUGCAACAAGACGAUCUUUUAGAAAUAUUCGGCUUUGGAAAUUUCAAAAACAAAUCGCGCAAUGUAUAUAUGUAUCUGAAUUUGAUAAAACCUUAGUUUUGGAAGUUGUAGUAUUUAUUUUCGUAACGAUUAUCAAUCAUAAAAAAGAAUCUUUGA
Long non-coding RNA from Symsagittifera roscoffensis, 1073 nucleotides. RefSeq lists it as uncharacterized. Lineage: Eukaryota; Metazoa; Xenacoelomorpha; Acoela; Convolutidae. The transcript is spliced from 2 exons. The record is from RefSeq and is a predicted model, not a curated record.